UUCCAAAGUGGUGUUCUGCGUACCAACUGCAUUGAGUGUUUGGACCGCACAAUUGAUGCUCAAUAUGCUUACGGUUUGGAAGCUUUAGGCCACCAACUUCAUGCAAUGGGUUUGACAGACAUGCCGAUAUUGGAUCCUAACAGUAGCAUUGCAACUGCACUAAUGGAUAUGUAUCAGAGCAUAUGUGAUGCUCUCGCGCAACAGUAAGGUGGUUCUGAAGCUCAUUACACUGUGUUCACAGAGAGGCAGGGGAAGUGGAAGGCUACCACCCAAUCCAAAGAGUUUCUCAAGUCCAUCAAAAGAUAUUACAGUAACACCUACACUGAUAGCGAAAAGCAAGAUGCAAUUAACUUAUUUUUAGGUUAUUUCCAGCCACAAGAGGGAAAACUAGCUUUUUGCAG
Rhodamnia argentea is the source of this 401-nucleotide long non-coding RNA. RefSeq lists it as uncharacterized. The transcript has 3 exons. Lineage: Eukaryota; Viridiplantae; Streptophyta; Magnoliopsida; Myrtales; Myrtaceae. The record is from RefSeq and is a predicted model, not a curated record.